GAAUAAAGAAAGAAUUGUAUGAGCUGGGUUUGUUUUGGUAUACUGUAUUGCUGUACAAGAAUAAUGAUGCAACAGCAAUACUACAAGCAACAUAGAAGAGCAUCAACAACACUGCCACAGUUAUACAUGGUAUAAGACACCAUAAGCAUGGUACUGUAGUGGUGGUGGUUAUGGUGGUAGUGGUGGUAGUAAUGGUGGUGAUGGUGGUAGAGUAAUUCAUUUAUUUUGAGACACUAGAACAAGCCACAAGUGCAACAUCAACAGCAAUUCCACUACAGUCUGUAACUUCAAUUAUACAAGGGAAAAUACAGUAGUGGUGGUGGUGGAUGGUUUAAUACAACAGUCACGAUACAAGCCCACAACAUCAGCAGAUUACAACAGCAGCAGCAGCAGCAGCACUACUAAUGCACAAUACUACAGCAGAUCUCAACAGUACCUCCAGCCACAGCAGCAGCAGCAGCAACACACCUACACACAAUACCAGAUGAAGGAGUUUCAAGGAUUGCACGAGGACAGGGUGAAGUACCUGCGCAACAAUUACCGUCCCUUGCAAGACCCGGGCACCAGGAAGGUGUAUGUCCGCCAUCGCUACCGCCCUCGCAGGGUCCUCGCCUGCACCACUCACUGACCACUCUUAUUUCAACUACAGCUCCUCCUUCACUUACGAUGGGGGUUACGUUCCCAUGAACCCAUUGUAAGUUGAAAAUAUCCUAACUCGAAAAUGUUGGAAUUGUGUUCCAACAAACCCACCGCCAGUCAACAAUAUCCUAACUCAAAAAUAUUGUAAAACUGAUAAUACUGGAAUUACGCUCCAAUUGCCCCAACAUAAGUCGGCAAUAUCCUAAAUCGAAAAUAUUGGGGUUAAAUUCCAACGAACCCAUCGUAAGUUGCCAAUAUCCUAAGUCGAAACUAUUGCAAAUUGAAAAUACAGUAUUGGGAUUACAUUCCAGUGAACCAUCAUAAGUGAAAAAUAUUGUUAAGUUGAAAAUAUUGUGAGUCAAAUAUAAAUAUGAUAUGCUAAGUAAAUAAAUAACUACUGUCACCGAAUAAGUAAAUAAACAAAUAAUUACUAUAACUAACCGAAUACCAGUAAUAAAAAGCAUAUACAGUAGAAUCCCUGUAUCAGCGGGGGAUACAUUCCAGGUAUCCACGGGGGAUACAUUCCAGGUAUCCACGGGGGAUACAUUCGAGGUGCCCGCAGGGGAUACAUUCCAGGUACCUGCGGGGGAUACAUUCCAGUUACCCGUGUGGGAUACAUUCCAGGUACCCACUGGGGAUACAUUCCAGGUACCCAUGGGGAUACAUUCCAGGUACCAGCAGGGGAUACAUUCCAGGUACCCAUGGGGAUACAUUCCAGAUACCCAUGGGGGAUACAUUCCAGGUACCCAUAGGGGAUACAUUUCCAGGUACCGCUGUGGAUACCAAAACCACGAAUAGUAGCAAACCCUACAGUAUAUAGAAAGCCACUUGUUAUGCUGAGCAUUUCCCGCAAAUUAGGUCAAUUUUGUCCCAGGAUGCGAACCACACCAGUCCACUAACAUCUAUACAUAUUGUGAUCUUAUUGCAUACCUGUUAUAAAAUUUAAUUGAUAAAUUAUGCACAGUAUGUGGAGACUGAUCACUUUGUCACUGAUGGGAAGCAAUUCACAACUUCUCUUAGGCUUUGAACAACUGUCAACUUCUCUACUCUUGUGCUUUGGGGCCGUUAUUAUGUACAAGUUAGGAACUUUUGGGGCAGUUAUUAUGUACAAGUUAGGGACUUUUGGGGCCGUUAUUACGUACAAGUUAGGGACUUGUCACCUUCAUGCUGGGUAAUUAUCUUAAGUGACAUCUCCAAAGUACAGUGGACCCCCGGUUAACGAUAUUUUUUCACUCCAGAAGUAUGUUCAGGUGCCAGUACUGACCGAAUUUGUUCCCAUAAGAAAUAUUGUGAAGUAGAUUAGUCCAUUUCAGACCCCCAAACAUACACGUACAAACGCACUUACAUAAAUACACUUACAUAAUUGGUCGCAUUCGGAGGUAAUCGUUAUGCGGGGGUCCACUGUAAUUGCUGCCCCACCAUCGUAAGUUAAAAUAUCAAAAGCCAAACCACUGUAGUCAAAAUAUUGUAAUUUAAAAUAUCUGAAGUCAAACCAUCGUAAGUUGAGGAGCACCUGUGCUGUACAUUAUUGGGAAGUAUUGUACAGUAGUGGGAAGUAUUGUACAAUAGUGGGAAGUACUGCCCAAUCGUGGGUUGUACAAUAGCGGGAAGUGUUGUAAAACAGUGAGAAGUACUGCCCAAUCGUGGGUUGUACAAUAGUGGGAAGUGUUGUACAAUAGUGAGAAAUACUGCCCAAUCGUGGGUUGUACAAUAGUGGGAAGUGUUGUACAACAGUGAGAAAUACUGCCCAAUCGUGGGUUGUACAAUAGUGGGAAGUGCUGUACAACAGUGAGAAAUACUGCCCAAUCGUGGGUUGUACAAUAGUGGGAAGUGUUGUACAAUAGUGAGAAAUACUGCCCAAUUGUGGGUUGUACAAUAGUGGGAAGUGUUGUACAACAGUGAGAAAUACUGCCCAAUCGUGGGUUGUACAAUAGUGGGAAGUGCUGUACAACAGUGAGAAAUACUGCCCAAUCGUGGGUUGUACAACAGUGGGAAGUGUUGUACAAUAGUGAGAAAUACUGCCCAAUCGUGGGUUGUACAACAGUGGGAAGUGUUGUACAAUAACUAUAUUUUUUACACUGAAAUUGUAUGUUGUACAGUGUUGCGAAUAAGAAAUUUUUUUUAAAGAACUUCAGAAUGUGGCCUGUUACCAUUUAUUUCUUAUGCAACAAGAUUUUUGGAUCCGAGUUAUAGGUAAUUUAGAGUCUAGGGGAAAUAAUUUCAACUGGGAAACUCCAUAGAAUAAUAUUCAAAUUUAUUAAAGUAUUUAAAUACAAUACUUUAUCUUCUCUUUGUAGUUAAUGUAACUUAAUACUUUGUACAAUAAAUUUAACAUAUACAUUUAGUUCAAAAUCAUGGAAAUGUCACAUUAAUAAGAAAGUUUAAUUAUUCUUCCUGUAAUUCAGUCUUCAAUAACAUUUACGUCUUUGUCUUAACAAGACUGUAAACUCAAAAUACAAAAGGUACAAGAUUUAACAAGACCUUUGAAUCUGGCCGUAAAGUAUCUCUAUGGAUUACUGAACUGACCAGGAAUAUAAAUAUCAAAAGAAUCUUUCAGAGUAAUGAGGAACAAAGUGAGUCAGCUCUAGAGUCCAAUUCUCAAAACCAUUCAACUGUACACCGUAAGAGCCAACAUACGAUCAGUUGUCAGGGCUAGAGCAGGGAGCGGACUGACUACUUGCCAGUCUGUUGAUGCGUCGUCAGGUUGGAUCACCUGACCCAACGUCAGUCAGCCGGACAUAAACAAUUGAACAAUUCACCGGAUGGUUCCGAGACUUAAACUCUAUAUACACAAGAAAUCCUACCUAACAAUAAUAGUGACAAUAAUAACAAUAAUAGUGAUAAUACCAUGGUAUUUUUCAUAUAUUAACAGAUAAUAAUAUAACGCCGAAAGUCUCUAUUUUAGCUAUAAACGGGGACUUUCGCGCUAUAAUAUUAAGUGAUGAACAUAUUCUCUUACAACAGUUAAAUAACACAGGAUGACCAAUUUCGAAGAUAUAACAGACAGAGUUAUAUAAAUGUAUAUUUUUUUAUAGUAGGACAGAGAUUUCAACUGGUAUUCACCUGAUGACCCCCAUUACCAAUUAAGACUUUAUGGGGGCUGGAAUGUCUAUGCUGUGAAGGAUAGCCCCCACUCUGUUUAAGCUGUGACAGAUAGCCCCCACUCUGUUUAAGCUGUGACAGAUAGCCCCCACUCUGUUUAAGCUGUGACAGAUAGCCCCCACUCUGUUUAAGCUGUGACAGAUAGCCCCCACUCUGUUUAAGCUGUGAAGAAUAGCCUGCACUCUGUGUAAGAAUUAUCCAAUGUCUGUGAAAUCAAAAUAAUGCAAAAAAUAAUAACAAAAAAAAUAAAUUAAUAUAUUACCAUAGCUUCAACUUCCAGUACAUAUAUUACAAAAAAUAAAACAAAAAUGAAUGCAGUAAGAGUACAAUAUAGCCAGUGGAGCAAUAAAAUCACAAACAGGUAAUCUCAAAAACACAAAAUAAGCCACUUGGGAAUGGAAAUCUUUAGAUCUUUCAUGUUCACUGUGCAUCAUCAGGAGCUAUGAAAUAUUGCAAGACAGUAACAUAUGCUAUGGGAAAUUCUCUGAGGUAUCAAUGGUGGCCCAUGACACUUGCUAGUCUUCAAACACUGCACAGCUCCUGAUGACGUACAGAAUGCAAAAGACCUUAAGCUAUAGAUUUCCAUGUGACUUGUUCUGUACACCCAGUGAAUUUUUAAAACUCCCCUAUAUCAAUGGUGUAUAUCUGUAGAAAGUUCCGGGUGGUCAACGUCCCCAUGGCCCGAUCUGUGACCAGGCCUCAUGGUGGACCAGGGCCUGAUCAACCAGGCUGUUACUGGUAGCUGCACACAGUCCAACGUAUGAACCACAGCCCAGCUGGUCAGGUACUGAUUUUAUGUGCCUGUCCAGUGCCUGCUUGAAGACAGUCAGGGGUCUAUUGGUAAUCCCCCUUAUGUAUGCUGGGAAGCAGUUGGGCAGUCUUGGGCCCCUGACACUUACUGUGUUGUCUCUUAUCAUGCUAGUGAAACCCCUGCUUUUCAUUGGGGGGAUGGUGCAUCGUCUGCCAAGUCUUUUGCUUUCAUACAGUGAUUUUCGUGUGCAAGUUUGGUACUAGUCCCUCUAGGAUUUUCCAAGUGUAUAUAAUCAUGUAUCUCUCCCGCCUGCAUUCUAAGGAGUAUACCUGCAGUAUACCUGGAGUAUACUUGUAAUUAUUCGUUCCAAACACGUUAUACUCGUGAAACUGAACCUUUUGUUCGGUAUACCAUACUGAACAACGUACAAGUGAGGAGUCAGAUCCACGUCCAAGAUCACAAGCCCUUGUUAACUGUCUGGUCAACCAGACUCUUGCUGCUAACAAACUACAAAACUAUAAUAAUCAAUUAUAAACAAAUAUAUUAACUUUAUAUA
Long non-coding RNA from Cherax quadricarinatus, 5048 nucleotides. RefSeq lists it as uncharacterized. Lineage: Eukaryota; Metazoa; Arthropoda; Malacostraca; Decapoda; Parastacidae. The record is from RefSeq and is a predicted model, not a curated record.